Molecule: transfer RNA, 83 nt
Filed under: Aspergillus flavus NRRL3357
Lineage: Eukaryota; Fungi; Ascomycota; Eurotiomycetes; Eurotiales; Aspergillaceae
Also listed under: 1 other name
Description: tRNA-Gln (TTG) (tRNA-Gln-TTG-4-1)
Rfam family: tRNA
About the family: Transfer RNA (tRNA) molecules are approximately 80 nucleotides in length. Their secondary structure includes four short double-helical elements and three loops (D, anti-codon, and T loops).
Source: RNAcentral
GGCAAGAUGACCGAGUGGUUAAGGUGUAAGUACUUUGUCUUCAUAUGUCGCAAGACGCGUGGGUUCGAAUCCCACUCUUGUCA